Molecule: unclassified non-coding RNA, 391 nt
Filed under: soil metagenome
Description: partial contains 5.8S ribosomal RNA, internal transcribed spacer 2, and large subunit ribosomal RNA
Rfam family: 5.8S ribosomal RNA (bases 1-122)
Source: RNAcentral
GAUGGAGAACGCAGCGAAAUGCGAUACUUGGUGUGAAUUGCAGAAUCCCGUGAACCAUCGAGUCUUUGAACGCAAGUUGCGCCCGAAGCCACUAGGCCGAGGGCACGCCUGCCUGGGCGUCACACGCCGUUGCCCCCCCAUCUACUCCUUCGGGAUUGCGGGGGGGCGGAUGAUGGCCUCCCGUGCGCCUAGCCGCGCGGUUGGCAUAAAUACCAAGUCCUCGGCGACGCACGCCACGACAAUCGGUGGUUGCGAAACCUCGGUUGCCCGUCGUGUGCGUUCGUCGCGCAUCGAGGGCUCGAAAAAAUGCUCGGCUCCGGCUGGGCUUUCAACGCGACCCCAGGUCAGGCGGGGUUACCCGCUGAAUUUAAGCAUAUCAAUAAGCGGAGGA